Quercus robur (English oak) is the source of this 954-nucleotide long non-coding RNA. RefSeq lists it as uncharacterized. Lineage: Eukaryota; Viridiplantae; Streptophyta; Magnoliopsida; Fagales; Fagaceae. The record is from RefSeq and is a predicted model, not a curated record. The transcript is spliced from 3 exons.
ACCCCCCCCCCCCCCCCCCCCCCAAAAACUUGUUUACAAAGCUCUAUACUCAACUCAUGGACACAAAAAGGCUUAUAUAUGAGGCUCUAAUCAACAUCCUGAAUCUAACAUGUCAUGGAUGUCAAGAAGAAAAAAUGGCAAGCAGUGCCAUAUGAUGAAUAGGAAACAACUGGCUUUAUAUAAAUCUGAGAAUGGAAUUAAAUAAGCGGAUUUGUGCAAAGAAGAAGGUUAAUGGACUUUACUUUUACAAGGGCCAUAAUGAAGUUAAAGAAUGACAACCCAACUAAAUUUGAGUCGAAUUGGAGCAAGGAAUCAAAGGAAAUUUGCACCAAAUUCAAGUCCAAUUCGGACUAAGAUUCCAGCUUGCACACCAGUUAGUAUUUUGGGCAUAACUUUUGGUUCAGAUGUCCAAUCGAGAUGAUUCAAGUUGGGCUAGAAAUUUAACUUAAAUGACUACUACUUUGUAGUUUACCAAAAAUCCUAAUUCUGAAUUUAAGUAGGCUAAAAACGUCAGGUUCAUGGGAGCUCAACCGGUAUUGGUACAUUUGUAAUUCAGAUAGCUAAAUAUUAUGGAGCAAGAGUGUUUGUUAUUGCAGGUCCAAUAUCACUUUUCAUCUAAUGCAUAAGUUUGAUUUCCAAGUUUUCAUAUAUUUUUAGAUUGUGAUUGGCAAGGAGUGAUGAAAAGUUAUAUAUUUGCAAGGAUCUUGGGCUGAUGUGUGCAUCAAUUACAAGACAAAGGACUUUGUUGAAUGGGUGAAGGAAGAAACAGGUAGAAAAGAGUUGAUGUUAUUCUGGAUCAUAUUGGAGCAUCUACUUAAAGCAAAACUUGAGAGCUUAAAUUUUAAUGGGAGGCUUUUUAUUAUUGGAACUAUGGGUGGCUCUGUUACAGAGGUCGAUCUCCAUGAUCUGCUUUCGAGGCGCCUCACAGUGCAAUGUAUGACACUUGAUAUCAGG